Pseudopipra pipra is the source of this 10369-nucleotide long non-coding RNA. RefSeq lists it as uncharacterized. The record is from RefSeq and is a predicted model, not a curated record. NCBI's taxonomy places the organism in Eukaryota, Metazoa, Chordata, Aves, Passeriformes, Pipridae. The transcript is spliced from 15 exons.
UCCCGGCCCCAAACCGGGCUGCGACUGCGGGGGAGCGGCUGUGCCGAGCUGAGAGCCGGGCGGGGCAGGCGUGGCGGGGGCGGCCGCAGCCGAUAUGGAACAUUCCAGCGAUCCAUUGGAACACAAAAUUUUAACAUACAGAUUUAUGCAAGAGGGAUGACUGCAAAGUGCAUUGCAUGAGUAGAGUAAGAAGCUGAAAAUUGCUGCUGUUGUAGCUGUCAUACGCACGUUAUUUUCUUUGGUAUGUGUGGAGAUUUCGCUGUCAGGCUUUUAUCCUCCAGAUUGUUUGUGCUGUACCUCUCUUCCUCCUUAAAAUAGAAAAUCAGUCACUGAACCUGGAUGCUAUUAAGUGUUCUUAGAAUAAUUCUUAACUAAGUUGGUUGAUUUUCACUUUCUGAUGAAAGAACAUUUGGUUGUUUAUUGCAGGCUCUAAAUAAACAUGUUUUUCCAAAAUCAACAGAUAAGAUUACAAAUUACAUUCCAUCCACAGAAUUGUUUACCAUAGGUAUAUUCCUUGCCAUAUAAUAUUUAUCAUUUUAGUUGUUAUGUUUUUUAUUUUGAAAGAUCUGGAGUUUAUCGUCAUCUAACAUUGUGUCUUAACUACAUUUUGCAGGGGUUAACAGGGAAUGUGGAUGUUUUAUGGACCUCAGAGGAGGAGUGGGGCAACAAAUAAUCUCAUGUGUUUGGUAGGAUUGUUAUUUUAAAUCCAGCCCAUUACCCAGCCUUUUUGCACUAGCUUUUUAUCUGACAUUCCCUACUGGCCCAAAACAAUAUAUUUCAUAUACCUCCAAACAUAAAAAUCUUUUCAGGUUUUUAUAGUCCCUUGUCCCCCUGGAAUUACAGAUGCAUCCUUUUUCAGGAAGCACAUACAACUGUGGUCUGAAGUGCUGGAGUACUUGAUUUCUUGGUAUGAUAAAAUUGUCCUUUGCUUUUUCAAGCUUUCCCUCUCUGCUCUGUAGAUAAGUUCUUUAGCUGAAAAAAUGAAAUAUGAAAAAAACCAGACUUGUUAAUGUGUAUGCUAUUUCAUCACACUGUUGUUUAGUUCUGGCUGGUAUUCUGCAGAAGACCAGAGUGUGGUCGUAGUGAUAUCAGUUAGCCUCAACAUUUUAUUUAUGUAAAUGAUAGGGGAGAAAAUGUCCAGUUCAAGAAAGCAGAGAUGAUUCUUGCUUAGUAGGAGAUUAAAGCAUUACUGUCAUUAUUAUUUGUUCUUAUUUCUCCAGAGGAUCUGGGUCUUGAUUAUGAUUCCGUUGUGGUAAGUGCCUCUAUCAAUCACAGAGAGAUCAAGUCCUUGCCUGAAGAUGUGCAUAUAAAGAUACUCCAUACAGCAGCAUGCCUUGAAGGAGCUUGAUGGUAAUUUCACAGAUGCUAAAUAUAUUAAUGUGAGUUCAGGUAGACUGGCACGUUUCUGAAGUCUCAGGUAUUUCAAGACAAAACCUUCUAUUUAUUUAUUUAUUUUAAUUAUUACUGUGAUUCUCACAGGAAUAACUGUAAUGCAGGAACAAAAGACUUGCCUGACUUUUAGAUCUGCAAAUUUCUAAACUUUGAAUAUUGUCCUUUUAUAUGUUGAGUAGGGUUGUGUGGGAAUUCUAUGUUAGGUGCUUUCAUCAAAGAAAUGGAAAACUGAUAAUGAAUCCUUGCCACUAGUGCAAUUUACUUAUUAAUUUACUGAGGAAUCAUCUCUUAAUCUGAAAGUCAUAAAAUUUAAAUAAAAAAACUUUUAAUAUUGAGAAUGGACCCAAUUACCCUAUAAGCAGCUGAUAAUUUUGAAUGCGGUUUGGCACAGAUACCCAUGCACUACCUUCCCUCACUUUCCUUUCAUACAAAUAAUGAGCAUUGCACUAAAUUGCAAAUAUGCUUUUGUCUUUUGCUCAAGCAAAAGAGUAAGAGUUGACUUUUAGCCUGCUCUUGAGUGUGAUGUUCCUGAGUUCACUGCUUGAUUUAUUUGCAGAUAUGGCAAACUGAGAAGAUACAUUUAAAAUACUUCUGGUUGUUUUUAUGUACAAGAAUCCCAGCCAUGAAGGAAUCUGAACUAGAAGGAGGAGACAGGAGUUCCUGGCCACACGCUUUUGUUAACAUCAGUAAGCCAUUGCCAUAGGAUUGAGUGAAGAUGCACCACCUCAGGAAUUUUAGAUAAAAGGUCACAGCUUGACACCAAGUACAGGGCAUUUAUAUGCAUCCAUUCCAUUUCACAGGGUAUCCACUGUCUCCAGGCACAGCUGCAGGACUCUUCAUGUAUAAAUAAAUAACCUGCUGUAAGACAGAUUAUGUUCCUUGGAUAUCAAUCACUGGUAAAUACCGUGUUACUACUUACGAUGUAAGAAUACUAAAUGGAAACUCACGAAGAUUUCAGAUUGCCAUUAUAUUUACAGUCCUGGGGCUUACUGCUGAGAGCUAUUGGAUGUGUUUGCCUCUGAAUACGGGCUGAAAGCUGUGCUGGGAUCUCAUUUCUAGCUUGCCUCUCAGAUUUUCAAAUCAAGGAAAAAGUGAUUAAAAGAGACAGAGGGAUCAAGGUGCUUUAGACUUGUCCAUAUGAAGAGAUGGACUAUCCAAGGAAGGCACAUGGACCUUAACAGAGGAACUACUGCCUGAGGAGAAGCUGGCCAUGGGCAGUCAGCAACAUGAGCAGCCUGGUGUGGAGCUUCCAAGAGAAUGGUCACAGUUUUGCAAAGAAAUAGCACACCUCAGAAGAGAUGCUUGUAAAACGGUAGAAGCUGAAACUAAAGCAAGAGCAGAAGUCUCCUCCUUUUCUCCUUGAAAUUCUUUUGGAAAGAACACUUUUGACUCUCAUUUUAUAAAGGAGUUGGGAAACUGUGUUGUUUAACAGAGGAAAAGUGAAUAAUUGAGAAACCUUGCUUCCUUUUCUCAUGGAUGUGAAUGCCAACAGUAGCUAAUCAAUGAGGAGGAGACCAGGAGACCUGCAUCUGUUGAUUUUUGUUAAGCAAUGGAAGAAAGAAAAGAGAAAAAAGUGGUUUUCUCCUUUGUUUCCGUUGGAAAAAGGAACAGCAAGUAAACUGUGAUGUAACAUCACUAAUAUCGGUCAUAGAAGAGGAUAUAUUAAAACAACAUAAUUCCAGAUGUUCAAUGAAGAUUGGCUAAUUGAAAAUCCAGUUGCAAAAAAAUGUGCCCUCAGGACUCUUUUUGUCACUGCAGUUCAUCAUGUGGAGUGGUAACUUUUGUUUCUUCUCAAUAUUAAUAAGGGGAUCCAUUUUAUUUCCUAAAAAUGAGUUAAAGAUGAUGAUUUUCUCUUUUUAAAGCAAGAAAGCAGAAAAAAAAAUAUUAGAAAAGGACAGGUCUAGAACUGUUAUUUGGGCAUCUUUCAGUCUGUGAGGAGGACCCCUGUGGUGUUGUAUUCAGAGACAUUUUUUCACUGUCUCUAAGUGAAUCUUUUCUCAAAGAUCUAAAUUUCAGUUGUCAAAACUUUCUUCUUUUAGAUAUAGCAACAGAAGACUUUAAAACCAGGGGAAUAACCUUUGGCUUGAAUUUAAAUGCAUAUCUCCAGGGAUUAUAAAUGCAAAUCAGACUACUUUCUGCCCAACAGAUUUUGCAGGUAAUAUAAUAUAGUUUAGAAAUUCUUUUCAGAGCCACCUUUGCCUGAUCCACCACCACACACACGCUUGAGUAAGGUGAAAGAAGAAACCUCAGUACUUCUGAAGACCUCAGUACUCCAGACAGAAACUUACAGCAUUCCCUUGCACUGAUUCUUGUAUUUCACCCCACAUCAGUUCUGCAUGUCUUUGGCAACUGGUGUUUGUUUUCACUUCUCUUGUAAACUGAGUUACUCAUAGCUGUCUGUCUUGGUUUCAUGGUAAACAAAACUUUGCUUCUUUUGCUUUAGGUGGUUUGGUUUAGAAUUCUUAAAGUAUUUUUCUGUUUCAGAAGAGGAGGUCUCUGAAAACAUGGGCAGGUCACCACAAAUUGAUGCUGCAUGACACUUUAGUUGGCUGUGAGUAUGCUGAGGAGCUGUAACAUUAGGGUUGUAUGUGUGUGUAUAUCUCUUUAUAAUAUAGAUCUAUGUAUAGAGUCCUCGUUAUGGCUUGUGUGCGAGUGUGUGCAUACACACACGUUCUUCUCUGUGGGGACCUUUCUAAUUCAUGAAGUGCAACUUUUCACCUGCACAAGAGGUUUCUGGAACCAUGGUUGUUCAUAAAUAGCAUUAUACAUCAAGGAAUGCUAACCAAAUGUCCUUGUAGGCAUUUAUUAUCAUUUUGGUUUCAACUCUGUUGUGCAUACGUUGUGUUCAUCUCAGUAUAAGGACUUCUGUAGCAUUGGCUGGUGUUAGAUAUCAGGCAGAAGUUGGCCUUCCCAGGUGAUGUGCUUCUCUUUCUCAGAAAGCUAAUGCUUUGAAAGAAGCUUUGCUCAGAGUUCCAGCUGCAGUGCCACAGCAGGCACAUAAUACCUUCAAGAAAUGGAAUACUAUGGGGAGCACAUGUUAAAAUGCUUAUGAGAAGGAUGUAUAAGUGUCACUAACUGAAAGAAAUGAAUCAGUUCUUUUUACGUAUAUUGAAAAGGAGCAGGCUAAAACAGCAAUUCUCCCCAUCAUGGAAAGCACAACAGUGAUGUACUGUUUUACCAGACUAGAGAACUAUACAAGCCUUUGCAUGUGUCACACUGCAGUAUUUUUUUUAUUCAGCAUACACAUUAAAUAGGAAAAAAAAACAAAACAAAAAACCCACAACACUCAAGGUCAGACAGACCAAAUAAUGACAGGCAAUACAAAUGCAUUUUUAUACAUAAACAGAAAAGGAGUGGGGAAGGUCUUUCUCAUUAUGCCAAAUAGCAGUCUGGCUAUGAUUUAAUGCAUUUGAAAUUAAGUCUGUCUCUUCAUCUGUACAUUUUUACUAGUCUGCAGAACAGACUGGCAGGCAGUGUGAGCAGAUGCUUCUGGUUGGAUCAGGAUAAAAUUCUUUGUGCUGGCUUUUUGGUCUGAUAAAAUCUUUUGAAUCUUUGUGCAGGAUGACAGCAGCAGUGAGCUUUAGGUGUUUUCCAGAGGAAGCAUUGGACCAAAUAAGUCUACUGGUGUGUCAUCGUAGGGAGUCUGUAAAGGCAGCUUCUGUUUAAACGUCUCUGCUUACUGCAUAGCACCACUGUGGGUGUGUUAUAUAAAUUGCGACAAUGGAGUGUAUUUCAGAUCCUUCAUCUCAGAGGCCAUCUGUCAUUGAAAAUGACACAUUCACCUGCCCAUCACUUCUGCAGCAGCAUGUGUGCUAGACAGGGUACAUCCCUAUGAAGUUAACAACAGGAACAGCUCUUCAUACAGCUGACUUUGGAAAGACUUAGUAAUCAAGUCACUCUUUCAGAUGUGAGCAAACACCACAAAUAGAUCGUUCUUUCUGUCCAAGAGAACACCAAGUGCUUUCUGCUUUGCUUCAGAAAAGAGCAAACUAGUUCCCUGAGGGAUAUUUUUCUACUCAGUAGAAUCCAGCAUCGCCUCCAUGGGCACUUCUCUGCUCUCCCUGACCCACAGCACAUAGGGCCUUUAAUACUGAAAAAUGAAGGUGGGUGUAAGAGCUCUGAUGAACCUGUUUGGACAACAGACAGCAAAAAAAUACCUGUCUCGGUGGAGGAGUUUAAGAGCACUGCAGAGAUCAUCAGACAGUGCAGAAUAUCUUGGCUCACACAGGCCAUUCUCUUUAUCUCAAAACAAUACCAGCCAAGCUCCUCUGUACCUAAAACUGAAGAGCUGCAGGAGCAGGAGGACAGUAACUAAUACAGCUUUUAAAUUUGAAUCUCCUUGUUUCUACUAAGAAAAAAAAAAGAAAAAAGAAAAAAGAUACAUGAAUUCAAAACAAGAUAAGAUAUCUGAUUCCAAGGAAGAAAACUAUCCACAGCAGGUUGAAGCUACAGGGGCAGUCCUGAAUUGUUUCUCUCCAUCAAGCUACUUUACUUCAAAAAGUGGACCUUCAAAAACAGCAAUUCCCAUGGAUCAGUGCUUAAAACGAUGUCAGGGUCUUGCUGAGCCAUUGUUGACCCCCUGGGCAGCAAGGUUGUGCAGAGCAGGAGGACUGCAGUGAACCUCUUCCCGUGUCUCAGGGGAGCCCAGUGCUGAGUGUGACAAAACCCUUCAGGGGGACGUAACACAGUGGAUGAUUGAUUGUACCCGCCAGCUGGCUAAUAUCAUAAUUAACAAAGUUGCUACCAUGUCUGAGAAGUUUAAUCGAAAAAAUUGCCGGCAGUAUGAUGCCAUUGUCACAGAGAUCAGAAGCGCUGCAGUGUUGACUUUUGUACUGGUGGAGCCGCAGGACUAUGUAGAUGUGCUGAGAAGUCUUUCGCUAGGAUAACUAAAGUGAGAUGUGAUUGCAGACAGCACACUGGGCUGUGGUAGAACUGACCAGUGGCACCUUGCCUUUGCUCUGCUCGUUCCCGCCGGAGCAGCUGUGCCACGGGGACGCCGAACUUCAGAGCCGCUGCCUGCGAUGAACCUUCACAUGCAGGAAUGUUGGCAGGAGAGUGUGGAAGCACAUCAGCAAGGUUUAGCUGGUGGAUCAUAUUGUGAAAUCUGCAGCCAUGAAAGGCCCUCCAUUUACUGCACCCUUCAAAACGAAAUGUUAGCAUGGGAGGGUAAGCUGGAGGCUAAUAACGAAGGAGUCAGUGAAGGAGACCGAUGCCACAAGGGUUAUCUCACAGCCCCAGAUGCUGGAUAAGUUGAAGCAGAAUCGCUUUUGGAUGACAUUCAGGAAGGCCUUGAAUGAUUAUCUUGCGAAAAAAAGACUAUUCUUUCCAAGGGUUUUUUUCCCUCUCGAUGCAGCAAUGAUCUCUCAGGAAUCCUUUUUGAGACAAAGGAUCACUCCACAUCCAACCAUACCUAAGGAAAUGCUUUGAAGGAAUUGAGCAGCUCGCUUUUAAUCACAAGAGAGAAAGUACCCACAUGGAGUCAACAGAAAAUGAAAAAGUAGAGCUCGUGCUGCGAAUAAUUCCAACAAGUGCCAAGGGGCUAGUUGAGAAAUAACUUCAUGAGGUGAAUAUCUUUAGCUCUUACUUAGGGUUUAGUUACUGUAUGAUAAUUUUCUCUUUUAGGAGCAAUGAAUAUCAUAAGCGUAUUUCCUAACUAAAUAGCUCUCUGAAUAUUUGUCAAGAUGUUGACAGAUUUCAGUCUUAUUGUUGUUAUUUUUUGCAAUGAAUUUAGCACCUGCAGACCUACAGAAAUCAAUUCUAAUAAAAAGCUCUCUGAGUCAGGCUGUCAGUAGAAGUCAGUCUGUGUCUGAAACCAUAUGUGUCAAUAUAUGUUUGAGUCUACCUGUAUGUGUUUUCGUGCUUUCAUGAUUUAAUGUCUGUAGUUCGGGAGGAUAACACGCAAAAAUAACCAGACAAAUGUAAGAUUUCGAAUGCUGUCCCCACCCUUCAGAAAGUGUGUCCCAUUGUGUUGGAGGGGUUUAAUAUCCAAUCAUUACAACAAAAGGAAAAAGAAAUUAUGUCACUGAUAACAUCCUAACCUUUCCCCUUUGGGCCUCUCAUCCAAAUUCAUUGGUUUCAGUACGAAAUUAGUUUGGUGACCUUUUUGUUUGAUUUAUUUAACCUUCCUCUCCCAGUGGAUGGGAAUGGGACCUUCCCUUCUUUUUUGUUUCUGGGCAUUUUUCUUCCAUGCGCUUACCUUUCUCCUGGGGUAGGAUCACCCCUAGGAAUGCCACUUCCCUUUUGUUCACUGUUGUGGGUACUGAUCUUGUCCUUGGUAGCUUGUUCCUGGGUACCCCCUAGGCAAGGACAGUGGCAGGGAGCAUCACCCAGCUCCAGUGGGAAAGAGAAGGGGAGGCUGCAGGCCUGCUACUUUUAUAUCUGGAUAAUUUGGCAGAGGCUGUGGGGGAAUCCCUGGGCAGUGAAACCCAGAGCAGUGGCAGGUCAAAGACAUUUGCCCCUCUUAUAUAUUGUGUUUCUGCUGGACUGCUUAAGUCCACUUGUGAAUCCUGUUUCCCACCUAAUGGAGCUGCAUGGAAACAAUGUACCAGUCUUGACUGAGCCCCUUUUAGAAGUGUGACUGCACACAGUUUAAAAUGGUCCAUCUGCAGCAUCAUUCAGGGUAGGGAGGGAAGAAGAAGAGGGCAGAAUUAGGCAAGCCCAAACACUUCCCAUCCUGUUCUCCAUGUCAAGUCACUAAGUUGGUUUUUGGAAUAGUUUCCAGCACAAAGUUAUCUCCGUAAAAAAAAAAAAAAGGAGUGACGGUGCAUAAGCAUCAGUCUUGAGGAGCACAGGAAAAGCCCAGAUUCUUAAGCCUGCAAUAUACUUUUUAGUUUUCACCUUCUUCCACAAAUGAAACAGGGCUGGGAGAGGUGAGCAGCUGUGUUUAUUUUAAUACGUCUAUUUUAACCCGCACCUAAAAACAAAUUGGAAGGUUUGGGAGUGCAUUAAUCUGGAUCCUAUUAGUGUCUCUUUCUCCCUCAAAAGUGCAACCUGAGAUUAAUUAAUGUAAACCAGAGUUUCAUAUGCAGUCUUUAAGUCAUUUGCAUGUUUUAUGCAUGAUAAUUGAAUUUAUUUAUGCACUUCCUUUCAUUUAAUGAUUUCUCACUCUUUUCUAUGCUAUCAACAUUAUAUUAUGCAAGACAUAGGAUUUGGUAGGCAAGAAAGGAUACAGUAUAUAAAUCAAAUCUGAGUUAAUUUUUAGUUCUAGUGUCAACACUAGAUCAGAAUUAAUAUUGGUCCCAUGUCAAUGGGGUUAUAUGGCUGGGAAAAUGUUAAAUAUUUUUGGUAAAGCAUAGAUUCUUAGCUUAACGAAACAUUUCUGAUGCAGCCUAGUUUGCUUGCAAGUGUACAAGCAAAAUUAUUUUUGAAUGGCAGUUAAAUUAUUGUAUUGACUUUUCAAUGACCCUAGAGACUUAUGUUUCUACUUGGCCAAUUAGUAGUAAUAAGAAGAUGAAUAGUAAUUACAUUAAUAAGUAACUGUGUUCAGACCAGGACCUUGGUAUUGUGCUCUGGCUUAGAAAAUAAGGGUAUAUUAUAAUUUGUCUCAUUUGGUCUUUCAUCUGGAGAAAUAUGGACUUUGGAGUUAUAGUGAAUUUAUCAUAGCCAAGAAGGUAAAAGUCCUAGGGAUGAAUAGGUCAUAUGAGAUAGCAGCUCUGUGGUAGUGGCUGUUUCAGUGCCAUAAGCAUGGAAUCUUUCUUUGUUUCUGCAAUUAAGCUCAGAUGUCUUAAAGAUGUCUUAGUGAUGGAGUCUGAUUUUUUUAUAAUGCAUAUCAGGAAGCUACUAUGGAAAAUAGUUUUAAAAAGAUGCUGGUAGUGGUGCUUUCAUAGCAUUUAUCAUUGCCAGUUUCUUUCGUGUCUCUUGUCUUUCCUUAUGUCUUGAAAGAUGUAUGUGGAAGUGAUAUUUUUCUGUGGUGUCCUGUCUUUUAUCAGUGAAUUAAAUGGUUGUGUCUUGUGAUCGUUUCUUGAUUCUCGUAGGUAGGAAUGUGUUUAAAGGCUAAAGUUCUUUUAAUUUGUAGUGUAACCAUUUCGGUGUCUUUCUUGUCAUUGAAAUGUAGUUUAAAAUGCUCAGUAAUGUAGCAUGAAAUCAUUGGUUAGUUUUGGAAUGGUGGUGAAAUCAUGUGAAGAAAAUAAGUAUUGCAUCUGAUCAAGAUAAAUUCACUCUAGUGUUUUAUGGCUUUUUAUUCCUAUGUGAUAGUAAUAAAGUCUCAUGUAGGGAUGGAAGCCAUGAAAUACAUUGUGAAAAAUCAUCAACUCAGAUGGGGCCAUCAGGAUAGCAUGCUGUAGUUGUAGAGUUAUUGAGAAUGAUUGGAAGACGAUUUAGUAUGUCACCACUUUGACCACGUUUUUGCAUUUUGUUUCUUCAUCCUUCACCCACGUAGUUUGCUGAGAGGAAAUCAGUUUGUAACAAGCCAAUCCAAUUUUACAUCAAUGUUCAGUGUUUAAAUUGUUCAUACAUCUUUCAUUUUCUGCCAAAGAUAACACUGUAUAUGAAACCCUAAGCUAAGAAUUUAAUAUAGCUAAUAAACACAUGCCAAAAUGAAUGCAAAGAAGAGUUGAUGAAUUUCUAAAUGCUUGGAAACUAAGCAAGUUCUACCCUGUUAGCAGCUGGUCCAGCUUCUUUAUUUUCAUGUUUGAGAGCAAAUCUGAGGGAUGAUUCAGGGAUUUAAUCCCUGUACUCUUUUACAUGGGCUCCUGUACUUUUCUCCAUUUCUCUGCUUGCGUGUCCUUCUGAAAAUGCAUGUUCUUUUGCCUCUCUGGAGCUGAGAUAAAGGCUGACAAUGUUGGGGUCAGAAAACAAUUUCUGACAAUUUCUUUACAGUGCUACUGCCUUACUGCUUUGUCUUCUUUUCUUUUGAAUACCAAUUUCCUUUGUGAAUAUUUUGGAGAAUGUUAUUUAUUCUGAUGCAACUAUUUACAAUUUUCCUGUUGUAUUAUUUCUCUGAAGCCUAUGUUAAUAAAACAUUAUGGAUUUUUUGCUA